GACAGUAGGGAUGCAAAGACAGACAAAAGACAGUUCCUCCUCCAAGAGCUUAAUGGGGGAAGCAACUUCGCAAACAGCUAUGGAAAAGCAAGAUAUGCCAAGGACAGAUGCUUUGUGAAAGUUUGCUAGAGUGAGCCAGAGCUCUCAUUGCAGACACAGCCUGGACUUACCCCGUCUUUUACAGAGCUAAAGCUUAGCCUCCAACCCAUGAAGAGGGCAGAUUUCCUUAGGAUCCAGACACAACUGUUUAUACCAAAGAAAAGAAGGGACCUCUUUCUGUUUCUCCUAGCCUCUCAAGUGUUGUGUCAUGCCUCUUCUCAGGUUCAUCUUUUUGGAUUUGGUCCUAUGCUCCAUCUUGACUGCUGAGAUCUUUUAGAUUCUAUCAUUCAGGAUAUUUACUACCUCUCCUAGCUUUGUGUCAUCAACAAAUUUGGUAAGUAUACCAUUUAAGCCUUUAUUUAAGUUAUUGAUAAACAUAUUAAAGCUUAGCACACGGCUAAACAUAGAUCAUUGGAGUAUUCCUAUCAACUUGAUCAUAAAACUAUUUACUAUUUGAGUCUAUUCAUUCAAACAGAACUAAAACCAUCCAAUUUUUAUCCCUCCCACCACAAGAACCCCCAUCACUCUCAUUUCUCCCUCUCUUCCAAAAGAAUAGUAUGAGGGGGCAACUGGGUAGCUCAGUGGAUUGAGAGCCAGACCUAGAGAUGGGAGGUCCUAGGUUUAAAUCUGGCCUCAGACACUUCCCAGCUGUGUGACCCUGGGCAAGUCACUUAACUCCCAUUGCCUACCCUUACCACUCUUCUGCCUUGGAACCAAUACACAGUAUUGAUUCCAAGAUGGAAGGUAAGAGUUUAAAAAAAAAAGAAUAGUAGGAGACUGUUGGGAGUUUCCGUCUCUCUUUCUCUCUCCUGUUCUCUUUAUCACAUCCCCUUCCCAUCCAUCUCCCUCCCCAAUGGCACAGUAGAUAGAACUCUGGAGUCAGAUUCUAAAUUCAGCUUUGUGACCCUGGGCAAGCUUUGUCUGCUACAAUUUCCUUAUCUGUAAAAUAGCUAUAAUAACAUCUACUUCUCUGGGUUCUUAAGAGGAUCAAAUGAGAUAUUCAUAAAACUUUUUAUAAACCUCGAGGAACUAU
Molecule: long non-coding RNA, 1132 nt
Filed under: Monodelphis domestica (gray short-tailed opossum)
Lineage: Eukaryota; Metazoa; Chordata; Mammalia; Didelphimorphia; Didelphidae
Description: lncRNA (ENSMODG00000049511.1)
Source: RNAcentral